RNAcentral lists this small nucleolar RNA (140 nucleotides) under Castor canadensis (American beaver). RNAcentral describes it as "Small Cajal body specific RNA 3 (ENSCCNG00000021911.1)". It matches the Rfam family "Small Cajal body specific RNA 3". From Rfam's summary of the family: scaRNAs are a specific class of small nuclear RNAs which localise to the Cajal bodies and guide the modification of RNA polymerase II transcribed spliceosomal RNAs U1, U2, U4, U5 and U12. The record is from Rfam by way of RNAcentral. Lineage: Eukaryota; Metazoa; Chordata; Mammalia; Rodentia; Castoridae.
GGUGGAAGCUGCAGGAACCAACCAUGUGGACAAAUGAGAAAAUACCUUUUGUCUACAGAAAGCAGCAAUCCUACAUAAACAUGGAGGUCUCUGUCUGACUUAGGAUAGCUGCUAAGUCAGAUCGUUCCCCUCCAUACACU